Molecule: microRNA, 18 nt
Filed under: Gallus gallus (chicken)
Lineage: Eukaryota; Metazoa; Chordata; Aves; Galliformes; Phasianidae
Description: microRNA Ros-gga
Source: RNAcentral
CGGACUGGAAUGGGACUA